UUACAGCAAUCCCACUCGCACAAUCCAGCAUGAGCACAUUCGCAGGCCCAUACUUCCAAGUUAUGUCGAGGGAAUGUGAUCUGGUCCGGGAACAGAGGUCCCCGUAUGUAUGCAGAUCUCUUCCGUCUUCGUUGAUGCACAGCGGUUGAAUAGACAAAUUUGAGUACCAUAAUCAUAGCGACUUCCUGUUUCUAUUCAUUGCUCAUACGUUUGUUCAACGAACUUCACUUGGUGGAUAUGCUGCUCGUGUCAUGCCCAUCCUGUUGAUAGACCUUCGAACAAGAUCAUGCUUCUGGAAUCCUUCUUGGUUGAGUGGGUGUUGAAGUUUGCUCAGCUGGCUUCUGGGUGGACCGAGUUUUUCUAUAAAAAAGCAGGUAUUUCACAGUGCUGUGGAGGGGUGUGGAGUGUGUGCUUGAAGUAUAUUUUGGAAUGCUACAGUCUGACGUACCUUUGCAGAAAUCCAUGACACAUUCGUAACACGGUCGAACCUUUUUGAGCAGCUGGAAAUCUGGAGAGAUGAAUGGUUGCCCUCAGAAGGAACCCACAAGGCCAUCGUUCUAGGACACAAGCCGGACUCGAAAGAAAUGUGUGCAUCCCUAGGUGCUUCCUCGAGACGCAAAUCUUCACAGUUAAGUGUUGUGGUAUCUUUGCAGAGACCCAGCAUUAAUGGCCGUUGCCAUGAACUGAGAACCAAAGGUCCUGAGGAGCACCCAUGACGCACUCCUCCCUCCUCACCGGGGGCAAGCAACACGCAGCUUGAUAGGAGAGGAGGGAGCUUCUCUUCCACAAGAUCAAUGCGAGGUUGGUUUUGUAUGUCCAGUGUCUGUCAAUGUCGUUGAUGGUGAUGCGCUUGUAUCUCGAAAGGACCAUUCGUGAGGGAAUGGUGUCGUCGUGUUACAAGCCCAUCACCCUCAACGACAUGACCCGCCUGUUUCAUACUCCACCAAACCUCGCUCCCAAUUCUGCUGCAGCAGGUCCAGAUUCACGACACCCCAGGGGACAACAGUCACAAAAGCAGGGCUGAAAGAGUGAGAUGAGGAAUAUCAAUCAGUGAGGAAUGUGCGGCGGUGAGGUUCAAUCGUCGCCCUGGCAGGCAUGAAAGAGAUGGGAUCCACCGACAUGGAUGUCGGUAGAGGUGCCGAUCUUCAUCACCGACAUUAGAUUCAAGCCAUUUUGUGUGUGGAAUUUGGGCAUUGUCGAAAUUUCAAGUGGCGCUCUCUGCACUUGCAUGAUUCAAUCAUGUUGCUUUCUUCUCAUGCGAAGUCUGUCCGCAUUCAGCGAUGUGUGUGUGAGUGUGUUUUUCUUUUCAAUGUGCGUGAAUCUAUAUAUAUAUAUAUAUAUAUACAUACAUAUUUAUGUAUUUUUUUAUUUAUUUAUGUGUUGUGUAAUGUAAGUGAGGAAUUUUCAUAGGAAAAAAUUGUAGGUAUUAGAUUUUAGAGGCAUCUUUUUUGGUUGAAAUCGAAUAUGAUAUUUUUUAAUACUAGAGUGAAAAAAAAAAUAGAUUACAAAAUUGAGUUGUUCAUAUUAAAAGAUGCAUUCAUGUAUUGUAAAGAAUAAUGUAAAAAACAAUAAAAUACUAAAUAUUAGAUCUA
This is a non-coding RNA of Physcomitrium patens, 1592 nucleotides long. Lineage: Eukaryota; Viridiplantae; Streptophyta; Bryopsida; Funariales; Funariaceae. The record is from RefSeq and is a predicted model, not a curated record.